RNAcentral lists this ribosomal RNA (668 nucleotides) under uncultured bacterium. RNAcentral's name for it is "bacterial SSU rRNA". The stretch from base 1 to 545 matches the Rfam family "Bacterial small subunit ribosomal RNA", at positions 338 to 873 of the family's 1533-position model. The record is from RNAcentral.
CCUACGGGAGGCAGCAGUGGGGAAUUUUGGACAAUGGGCGCAAGCCUGAUCCAGCAAUGCCGCGUGCAGGAUGAAGGCCUUCGGGUUGUAAACUGCUUUUGUACGGAACGAAACGGUGAGCUCUAAUACAGUUUGCUAAUGACGGUACCGUAAGAAUAAGCACCGGCUAACUACGUGCCAGCAGCCGCGGUAAUACGUAGGGUGCGAGCGUUAAUCGGAAUUACUGGGCGUAAAGCGUGCGCAGGCGGUGAUGUAAGACAGAUGUGAAAUGCCCGGGCUCAACCUGGGACCUGCAUUUGUGACUGCAUCGCUAGAGUACGGUAGAGGGGGAUGGAAUUCCGCGUGUAGCAGUGAAAUGCGUAGAUAUGCGGAGGAACACCGAUGGCGAAGGCAAUCCCCUGGACCUGUACUGACGCUCAUGCACGAAAGCGUGGGGAGCAAACAGGAUUAGAUACCCUGGUAGUCCACGCCCUAAACGAUGUCAACUGGUUGUUGGGGUCUUUCACUACGUACCUACGUAACGUAAACGACGUAACGUAACCGUCGGUAGGUUAAGUUACCGGACCCGUCCGGGGUAGGGGUAACGGGUCCGGCCCGACGUAGGUAACGUUAAACGUAAAGUAGUUAGGCGNGAGAGAGCGACGGACGGACGACGAGGGAGGGAGGAG